GAUGAAGAACGUAGCGAAAUGCGAUACUUGGUGUGAAUUGCAGAAUCCCGUGAACCAUCGAGUCUUUGAACGCAAGUUGCGCCCGAAGCCAUUAGGCCGAGGGCACGCCUGCCUGGGUGUCACACACCGUUACCCUCGCGCCAACGUCCAUCGUUGGCCGCGGCGCGGGGCGUGCGCUGACCUCCCGCGAGCGGGGUCUCGUGGUUGGUUGAAAAUCGAGUUCGCGGUCGAGGGUGCCGUGAUGAAAUGGUGGAUGGGCGACGCCCGAGGCCAAUCACGCGCGACUCUGUCAGGCUCGGGCUCCUGGACCCCUUCGGCGUCUCCGGACGCUCUUUGGCGAGACCUCAGGUCAGGCGGGGCUACCCGCUGAGUUUAAGCAUAUCAAUAAGCGGAGGA
RNAcentral lists this unclassified non-coding RNA (396 nucleotides) under soil metagenome. RNAcentral describes it as "partial contains 5.8S ribosomal RNA, internal transcribed spacer 2, and large subunit ribosomal RNA". The stretch from base 1 to 122 matches the Rfam family "5.8S ribosomal RNA", at positions 35 to 154 of the family's 154-position model. The record is from RNAcentral.